AAAUUGAAGAGUUUGAUCAUGGCUCAGAUUGAACGCUGGCGGCAGGCCUAACACAUGCAAGUCGAACGGUAACAGGAAGCAGCUUGCUGCUUCGCUGACGAGUGGCGGACGGGUGAGUAAUGUCUGGGAAACUGCCUGAUGGAGGGGGAUAACUACUGGAAACGGUGGCUAAUACCGCAUAACGUCGCAAGACCAAAGAGGGGGACCUUCGGGCCUCUUGCCAUCAGAUGUGCCCAGAUGGGAUUAGCUUGUUGGUGAGGUAACGGCUCACCAAGGCGACGAUCCCUAGCUGGUCUGAGAGGAUGACCAGCCACACUGGAACUGAGACACGGUCCAGACUCCUACGGGAGGCAGCAGUGGGGAAUAUUGCACAAUGGGCGCAAGCCUGAUGCAGCCAUGCCGCGUGUAUGAAGAAGGCCUUCGGGUUGUAAAGUACUUUCA
This 441-nucleotide ribosomal RNA is filed under the name Salmonella enterica subsp. enterica serovar Infantis. RNAcentral's name for it is "partial 16S ribosomal RNA". It matches the Rfam family "Bacterial small subunit ribosomal RNA", at positions 1 to 438 of the family's 1533-position model. The record is from RNAcentral. Lineage: Bacteria; Pseudomonadati; Pseudomonadota; Gammaproteobacteria; Enterobacterales; Enterobacteriaceae. RNAcentral also lists the same sequence under 2 other names.